This 207-nucleotide long non-coding RNA is filed under the name Nicotiana benthamiana. RNAcentral describes it as "long non-coding RNA (NBEN_LNC017125)". Lineage: Eukaryota; Viridiplantae; Streptophyta; Magnoliopsida; Solanales; Solanaceae. The record is from RNAcentral.
CAUAUGAACAAUAUAUGGAUUAAUUAUAUGUUAUAUGCUAUCUUUUGGUUUGACCUAAAUAAGUGGUCUUAUGGACAUUAUGUUAAGGGGGCCAAUGUAUUGUCAUACCAAAGUGUAGGACUAAUGUGUAGAUACCCAAAAGGGUAACCUUAGUUAAUGAUGGGCUAACUAAGGUUACAUAUGUAACCAUGGUUACAUGCUUGUGAC